RNAcentral lists this ribosomal RNA (497 nucleotides) under uncultured bacterium. RNAcentral's name for it is "partial 16S ribosomal RNA". It matches the Rfam family "Bacterial small subunit ribosomal RNA", at positions 28 to 507 of the family's 1533-position model. The record is from RNAcentral.
GAUGAACGCUGGCGGCGUGCCUAAUACAUGCAAGUCGAGCGAACGGACGAGAAGCUUGCUUCUCUGAUGUUAGCGGCGGACGGGUGAGUAACACGUGGAUAACCUACCUAUAAGACUUGGAUAACUUCGGAAAACCGGAGCUAAUACCGGAUAAUAUUUUGAACCGCAUGGUUCAAAAGUGAAAGACGGUCUUGCUGUCACUUAUAGAUGGAUCCGCGCUGCAUUAGCUAGUUGGUAAGGUAACGGCUUACCAAGGCAACGAUGCAUAGCCGACCUGAGAGGGUGAUAGGCCACACUAGAACUGAGACACGGUCCAGACUCCUACGGGAGGCAGCAGUAAGGAAUCUUCCGAAAUGGGCGAAAGCCUGACGGAGCAACGCCGCGUGAGUGAUGAAGGUCUUCGAAUCGUAAAACUCUGUUAUUAGGGAAGAACAUAUGUGUAAGUAACUGUGCACAUCUUGACGGUACCUAAUCAGAAAGCCACGGCUAACUACGUG